GCCAUUGUAGCUCAGUUGGUAGAGCAUUGGAUCAGUAAUCAAAGGGUAGCAUGUUUGACACGCACCAAGGUAGCCUGGUA
This is a non-coding RNA of Potamilus streckersoni, 80 nucleotides long. The record is from the annotation of a GenBank genome assembly. NCBI's taxonomy places the organism in Eukaryota, Metazoa, Mollusca, Bivalvia, Unionida, Unionidae.